RNAcentral lists this ribosomal RNA (374 nucleotides) under uncultured bacterium. RNAcentral describes it as "bacterial SSU rRNA". It matches the Rfam family "Bacterial small subunit ribosomal RNA", at positions 521 to 896 of the family's 1533-position model. The record is from RNAcentral.
UAAUACGUAGGGGGCGAGCGUUGUCCGGAUUUAUUGGGCGUAAAGAGCUCGUAGGCGGUUUGGUAAGUCGGAUGUGAAAUCUCCAGGCUCAACUUGGAGGGGUCAUUCGAUACUGCCAUGACUAGAGUUCGGUAGGGGAAUGUGGAAUACCUGGUGGAGCGGUGAAAUGCGCAGAUAUCAGGUGGAACACCCGUAGCGAAGGCGGCAUUCUGGGCCGAUACUGACGCUGAGGAGCGAAAGCGUGGGGAGCGAACAGGAUUAGAUACCCUGGUAGUCCACGCCUUAAACGAUGGGUACUCGGUGCUGGGCCGCAAGGUUCAGUGCCAAAGCUAACGCAUUAAGUACCCCACCUGGGGAGUACGAUCGCAAGGUUG